AUGGUGAAAUGCGAAGAAUGGCCUGUGCUGUUUGGUUAUGGCUGCCUUCUCACCUAAGAUAAGUGUUACACUUAUAUACAACCUAACAUAUAAAAUAUAGUAGGUUACAAUGACUUGAGAAACAACACAGUGUGACAUUGGUAUAAUUAUCUGUUGCAGGUACAUUAUGAAGGCAAACUGAGCAAACAUGGAUAUAGUUUGAUGUGAUCACAGAUGAAGCAAGAAUGGCACAUCUAUGCAAAGAAUGACAAGAGUGGAAUGAACUUCUGUUCCAUGAAAUAUGGAUUUCUUCCCACACAAGAUAAGUAUCACAUUUGCACACAUGAUGAAAUUUUAAACAUAUUAUUAGUGACGUCACUUUUAUGGACAUAAGGUUCACAAUUAACCUGCUGCUUCACAAGGUUUGAGCACCUUGAGGAAUUCCAGAGAAAUUAGCAGACUAAUUUUUGAACUGUUGCAAAUUGUGAAUUGACAUCAAGUAUAUUUUAGAACAGCUUGAAAAGCUAGAUGAACACACUGGUGUAACUUUGUAGCUUCAGAAGAAGUAAUGCUGUGGCAGUCUGUAAGGAAGAGCUGCACGAAGCUAACUUGCACUAACCUGACUAGAACAAACUAACCUAACCUAAAACAACUUCAUCUAACACGACAAUGUUGAAAGCGGUCUGCCCCGACAACCUCAGAUGUAUAAACAAUUGGGUCCGUCGGAUCGUCUGUGUUAUGAGGACCUAGACUGUUUCCUAACCUAACCUAGAGCUGCACGAAGCUAACUUGCACUAACCUGACUAGAAUAAACUAACCUAACACGACAUAAUGUUGAGCCGAUGGACCCCGAUGUAUAAACAAUCGUGUCCGUCCGACGGACCUUUAGACACUUCCUUAUAAGAUAUUACAAAGGCUAAGAUUGAUAUGGUUAUACAUUAUCACAGACAAAGAGAAAAUGGCACAUUGUGAAGAAUGCGGCUUGGUGACAGUGACGGCUAUAGGCAGUGUGUGCUCGUGGAUAAAUCAAUUAUGGAUGCCUGACUAUGCAGGAUGGUACCCCAGGCCUUGACCACCAUGGCGGAGAUGAAGCUGCGUGUUCACCUGUACAGAAAGAAGACUGUGUGUACAAGACUGGGACAUUGUACCCCUUUGAAUCCAAAAUCCUGAAUACACACAUCAAUAAAUGUGUUGUGCUACAUCUUUCCA
Molecule: long non-coding RNA, 1188 nt
Organism: Ornithodoros turicata
Lineage: Eukaryota; Metazoa; Arthropoda; Arachnida; Ixodida; Argasidae
Exons: 2
Source: RefSeq, a predicted model, not a curated record